UACGUAGGGUGCGAGCGUUGUCCGGAAUUAUUGGGCGUAAAGAGCUCGUAGGCGGUGUGUCGCGUCGGCCGUGAAAACCUGUGGCUUAACUAUGGGCUUGCGGUCGAUACGGGCAUCACUGGAGUUCGGCAGGGGAGACUGGAAUUCCUGGUGUAGCGGUGAAAUGCGCAGAUAUCAGGAGGAACACCGGUGGCGAAGGCGGGUCUCUGGGCCGAUACUGACGCUGAGGAGCGAAAGCGUGGGGAGCGAACAGG
Molecule: ribosomal RNA, 254 nt
Filed under: uncultured bacterium
Lineage: Bacteria
Description: partial 16S ribosomal RNA
Rfam family: Bacterial small subunit ribosomal RNA
Source: RNAcentral